This 427-nucleotide ribosomal RNA is filed under the name uncultured bacterium. RNAcentral's name for it is "partial 16S ribosomal RNA". It matches the Rfam family "Bacterial small subunit ribosomal RNA", at positions 354 to 796 of the family's 1533-position model. The record is from RNAcentral.
GUGGGGAAUAUUGGGCAAUGGGGGAAACCCUGACCCAGCGACGCCGCGUGGGUGAAGAAAUCCUUCGGGAUGUAAAGCCCUGUUGUAUGGGAAGAGCAGAAGACGGUACCAUACGAGGAAGCCCCGGCAAACUACGUGCCAGCAGCCGCGGUAAUACGUAGGGGGCAAGCGUUGUCCGGAAUUACUGGGCGUAAAGCGCACGCAGGCUGACUUAUAAGUCGGUAGUCAAAGGCGGAGGCUCAACUUUCGUUUAUCUAUCGAUACUGUAAGACUAGAGUAUGUGAGAGGGAAGUGGAAUUCCCGGUGUAGCAGUGAAAUGCGUAGAUAUCGGGAGGAACACCAGUGGCGAAGGCGACUUCCUGGCACAAUACUGACGCUCAUGUGCGAAAGCUAGGGUAGCGAACGGGAUUAGAUACCCGGGUAGUCC